Molecule: long non-coding RNA, 552 nt
Filed under: Pan troglodytes (chimpanzee)
Lineage: Eukaryota; Metazoa; Chordata; Mammalia; Primates; Hominidae
Description: long non-coding RNA NONPTRT011448
Source: RNAcentral
UAUAGAAGUAAACUAAUGGAGUAAGGUUUGUUUGUAGAUUCCUCUGGUGCCAUAUCUGAGCUGAUAAGAGUUUUCUCCAGUAAAGGAGAAUUUAUAUUCCAUCUGUCUGUAGAAAAGAAGGGAGGACAGAAAGCAUUCUUCCUUUGUUUGCUGCUGCCUAGCUGUCUUUAGCUCAAUAAUAUUUAUGUCAAAGAGACCUAUUUGGCAUGACAUAUUCUGGUGUCUGUCAGUAGGAAGGCAGAUGCCACUGCCACAGUGGGAUGGCAGAAGAAAACUGACAGAAGUGCAUGGAAGGCUGUUGUCCCAUUGUCAGUGAUAGGCCUGGGGACACUAGUGAUUAGAGGGUCAGGAGUUGGGAAGAAGACCUGGAAGCAAAGCAAGGGAAAGUGAGGAUGACCUAGAGCCCACAUCUGUCAUUUACCUCCUGAAGUAGGGAACAAUAGAAGGAAAACUCUAAAUAUUCAGAAAAAGGCAGGAAACAGAAAAAUCGAGCCUGAGGCAGACAGCAGAGGAGCGAGGUCAGUAGGGAAGGAAGAGGAAGCAUUCUUGUCA